Molecule: ribosomal RNA, 236 nt
Filed under: uncultured bacterium
Lineage: Bacteria
Description: partial 16S ribosomal RNA
Rfam family: Bacterial small subunit ribosomal RNA
Source: RNAcentral
UACGUAGGGUGCAAGCGUUGUCCGGAAUCAUUGGGCGUAAAGCGCGCGUAGGUGGCUUCGUAAGUCCGUUGUGAAAGUCAAAGGCUCAACCUUUGAAAGCCGAUGGAUACUGCGGAGCUAGAGUACGGAAGAGGCGAGUGGAAUUCCUGGUGUAGCGGUGGAAUCGCGCAGAUAUCAGGAGGAACACCAAUAGCGGAAGGCAGCUCGCUGGGACGUUACUGACGCUGAUGCACGAA